UGCUAAGCCUUUUGAUGAGAUUGAGUUUGAGAAGGUACUUCGCAAGAAGUUUGCUCGUCGUGAUGAAGAGUAUGACUCAAUGCUUGGUGUUGUUCGGGAAACUCCUCCUGAACUUAUACUUCCAGAUAAUGUCCUACCAGAUAAAGCACCCAAGGCAAAAUGAGGUAUUGUUUCUUAAAAUUCAAAUCUUCAUAUUUGACUUCAGAGGAAUAUUUGUUGUCUUGUGCAAAUACAUUAAGAAGGGAUCACUCUCUUUUCCAAUAAUACCAGACCUGUUUAGGGUAGAAUUAUGGCUGCUUAUAAGUUUUUUGCUCUGCUCUAUUUUUGGUUGUUUAGAUGUUCUAUUUUCUUCCAUGGGAGAACUAAUGCUAUAAAGCUGAAUUUAUUUUGAUGUUUUUCUCUUCCUUUACCUAACAAAUUCACUUUCAAUAUGAUCUUGCUGAUCCAUGCUUCUUAUAUCGAGUUAUAUGAGCCUUGAGGGAUGGUGUAACUAAGGGUAAAUUUCACAUGUUGUCCCUAAACUUUGGAAUCCCCUCUUCCAACCCUAUCUCUCUCUCAAACUCAUUUUCUCUCUGUACCAAAAAUUGUUCUCCAUGACCUGCCUUUUUGGUCUCUGUCUUCUCAUAUUUCUAUCUCCUUUUCACUUCCCAUCACCAUCUCUAUGUACUUCAAUCUAAAAAUAAUGUUAUUAUGCAUGGAGAUACUAAUACUCUGCACAAAAAUACUGAAAAUACCCAAUUUCAACAAUGUAAUAGAUUCAAAAAAUAACAAAAUUGCAUCCAAAAAAGAUACAUAGCAAAUGAAACAAAAGAUGUGAAAUUCUGAGUAGAAAGUUAAAGAAAAACAAAAUAGAAUUUGGGGAAAUAAAACAAUAUCCAAACAAAUUUGAAAAAGAAAAUCUAAAAAAGGGAAUGGCACAACAUGGAGAUGGUAGAAACAAUCACAGCCAUAUAAGAGAUAAUAAAUAUGAACCAAAUAAAGAACGUCUUAAAUCCACACUAACAAUUUUAUUCAUAUAGUUUCCUUUAUUGUUGAUCUUGUUGCUGACUUCUUAUCAUUCUAAUUUCCUUUUGCGUGCCUACUAUUGGGGUGUUAAUGGGUGGGAUAUAUCGCUUGGAGGGAUGGGCGAUACAAGAGGUAGGGGUAAAGGUGGGUUGGAUAUGGAAAAGAAAAGAAAGGCUAUAGGUAAAAUUUGAUCCAUUUGUGCAAAGAGAACAACCAGAAUCUGGAAGAAGGCUGCCUUGGGUCUGUGACAUUCUCCCUCUCUACCAAUUGGUAGAGCAGAUCUUGAUGAUUGUGGAGAACGAGUUUGGUAGAGAGAGAUUGAAUUUAAGAGAGAGGACAGGGAGAGAAUGGGGAAGGGAGAUUUUUUUUUUUUUUUUAACCCUUGCCACAUCAGCUCAUUACUUAUCAGUUGGCAAUGAAGAGUCAAAAGGAAUUUAUUGUUCAUUAAAUUAAAGUUCAAAGAGUUUUAUGUUACAAAUUAAAGAUUAUGAAUUGUAAUGUUACAACACCCUAAAUUCAAGGACAAUGUGUGAAAUUUACCUGUGCAACUAAUUAGCUCAUUUUAUGAUUGGUACGUGAAUAUAUAUGAAGGGAAUAGCAUUGCUGCAGAUUUUCGGUUGUUUCUGUUACUGUAGGAACUUGUUCUACAUCACCUGAUCAACUAUCGAAACU
RNAcentral lists this unclassified non-coding RNA (1677 nucleotides) under Hevea brasiliensis (rubber tree). The record is from RNAcentral. Lineage: Eukaryota; Viridiplantae; Streptophyta; Magnoliopsida; Malpighiales; Euphorbiaceae.